AAACCAAUAAACCCCAUCGUGGGUUUGUGCUGGGCCCCGCACAGAGGUGCGCCGCCUCAAAGCCAUGGUCUAACCUGCGGACGAGCUCCUCUAGGACCUGCCGUGGGUCGACCCCCCUCUCUCUGA
This 126-nucleotide unclassified non-coding RNA is filed under the name uncultured Archaeorhizomyces. RNAcentral's name for it is "sequence contains ITS2". Lineage: Eukaryota; Fungi; Ascomycota; Archaeorhizomycetes; Archaeorhizomycetales; Archaeorhizomycetaceae. The record is from RNAcentral.